Molecule: ribosomal RNA, 2073 nt
Filed under: Staphylococcus pseudintermedius
Lineage: Bacteria; Bacillati; Bacillota; Bacilli; Caryophanales; Staphylococcaceae
Description: partial 23S ribosomal RNA
Rfam family: Bacterial large subunit ribosomal RNA
Source: RNAcentral
UGAAGUUCAGGUAACACUGAAUGGAGGACCGAACCGACUUACGUUGAAAAGUGAGCGGAUGAACUGAGGGUAGCGGAGAAAUUCCAAUCGAACUUGGAGAUAGCUGGUUCUCUCCGAAAUAGCUUUAGGGCUAGCCUCAAGUGAUGAUUAUUGGAGGUAGAGCACUGUUUGGACGAGGGGCCCCUCUCGGGUUACCGAAUUCAGACAAACUCCGAAUGCCAAAUAAUUUAACUUGGGAGUCAGAAUGUGGGUGAUAAGGUCCAUAUUCGAAAGGGAAACAGCCCAGACCACCAGCUAAGGUCCCAAAAUAUAUGUUAAGUGGAAAAGGAUGUGGCGUUGCCCAGACAACUAGGAUGUUGGCUUAGAAGCAGCCAUCAUUUAAAGAGUGCGUAAUAGCUCACUAGUCGAGUGACACUGCGCCGAAAAUGUACCGGGGCUAAACAUAUUACCGAAGCUGUGGAUUGUCCUUUGGACAAUGGUAGGAGAGCGUUCUAAGGGCGUUGAAGCAUGAUCGCAAGGACAUGUGGAGCGCUUAGAAGUGAGAAUGCCGGUGUGAGUAGCGAAAGACGGGUGAGAAUCCCGUCCACCGAUUGACUAAGGUUUCCAGAGGAAGGCUCGUCCGCUCUGGGUUAGUCGGGUCCUAAGCUGAGGCCGACAGGCGUAGGCGAUGGAUAACAGGUUGAUAUUCCUGUACCACCAUUAUUCGUUUUAAGCGAUGGGGGGACGCAGUAGGAUAGGCGAAGCGUGCUGUUGGAGUGCACGUCCAAGCAGUGAGAUUGAGUGUUAGGCAAAUCCGGCACUCUUAAGAUUGAGCUGUGAUGGGGAGAGGAACUUGUUCCUCGAGUCGUUGAUUUCACACUGCCGAGAAAAGCCUCUAGCUAGAAUAACGGUGCCCGUACCGCAAACCGACACAGGUAGUCAAGAUGAGAAUUCUAAGGUGAGCGAGCGAACUCUCGUUAAGGAACUCGGCAAAAUGACCCCGUAACUUCGGGAGAAGGGGUGCUCUUUGAGGUUCACGCUUCGAAGAGCCGCAGUGAAUAGGCCCAAGCGACUGUUUAUCAAAAACACAGGUCUCUGCUAAACCGUAAGGUGACGUAUAGGGGCUGACGCCUGCCCGGUGCUGGAAGGUUAAGAGGAGUGGUUAGCGCAAGCGAAGCUACGAAUCGAAGCCCCAGUAAACGGCGGCCGUAACUAUAACGGUCCUAAGGUAGCGAAAUUCCUUGUCGGGUAAGUUCCGACCCGCACGAAAGGCGUAACGAUUUGGGCACUGUCUCAACGAGAGACUCGGUGAAAUCAUAGUACCGGUGAAGAUGCCGGUUACCCGCGACAGGACGGAAAGACCCCGUGGAGCUUUACUGUAGCCUGAUAUUGAAAUUCGGUACAGUUUGUACAGGAUAGGUAGGAGCCUUAGAAGCGUGAGCGCUAGCUUACGUGGAGGCAUUGGUGGGAUACUACCCUAAUUGUAUUGGAUUUCUAACCCGCAGCACUUAUCGUGCUGGGAGACAGUGUCAGGCGGGCAGUUUGACUGGGGCGGUCGCCUCCUAAAGAGUAACGGAGGCGCUCAAAGGUUCCCUCAGAAUGGUUGGAAAUCAUUCAUAGAGUGUAAAGGCAUAAGGGAGCUUGACUGCGAGACCUACAAGUCGAGCAGGGUCGAAAGACGGACUUAGUGAUCCGGUGGUUCCGCAUGGAAGGGCCAUCGCUCAACGGAUAAAAGCUACCCCGGGGAUAACAGGCUUAUCUCCCCCAAGAGUUCACAUCGACGGGGAGGUUUGGCACCUCGAUGUCGGCUCAUCGCAUCCUGGGGCUGUAGUCGGUCCCAAGGGUUGGGCUGUUCGCCCAUUAAAGCGGUACGCGAGCUGGGUUCAGAACGUCGUGAGACAGUUCGGUCCCUAUCCGUCGUGGGCGUAGGAAAUUUGAGAGGAGCUGUCCUUAGUACGAGAGGACCGGGAUGGACAUACCUCUGGUGUACCAGUUGUCGUGCCAACGGCAUAGCUGGGUAGCUAUGUAUGGACGGGAUAAGUGCUGAAAGCAUCUAAGCAUGAAGCCCCCCUCGAGAUGAGAUUUCCCAACUUC